This 69-nucleotide transfer RNA is filed under the name Parnassius tenedius. Its description in RNAcentral is "tRNA-Leu". Lineage: Eukaryota; Metazoa; Arthropoda; Insecta; Lepidoptera; Papilionidae. The record is from RNAcentral.
ACUAUUUUGGCAGAAAAAAUGUAAUGAUUUUAGAAAUCAUAAAUAUGUAAUUUAAUUAUAUAUGUAGUA